RNAcentral lists this ribosomal RNA (497 nucleotides) under uncultured bacterium. RNAcentral's name for it is "partial 16S ribosomal RNA". It matches the Rfam family "Bacterial small subunit ribosomal RNA", at positions 28 to 507 of the family's 1533-position model. The record is from RNAcentral.
GAUGAACGCUGGCGGCGUGCCUAAUACAUGCAAGUCGAGCGAACAGAUGAGGAGCUUGCUCCUCUGACGUUAGCGGCGGACGGGUGAGUAACACGUGGAUAACCUACCUAUAAGACUGGGAUAACUUCGGGAAACCGGAGCUAAUACCGGAUAAUAUAUUGAACCGCAUGGUUCAAUAGUGAAAGACGGUUUUGCUGUCACUUAUAGAUGGUUCCGCGCCGCAUUAGCUAGUUGGUAAGGUAACGGCUUACCAAGGCAACGAUGCGUAGCCGACCUGAGAGGGUGAUCGGCCACACUGGAACUGAGACACGGUCCAGACUCCUACGGGAGGCAGCAGUAGGGAAUCUUCCGCAAUGGGCGAAAGCCUGACGGAGCAACGCCGCGUGAGUGAUGAAGGUCUUCGGAUCGUAAAACGCUGUUAUUAGGGAAGAACAAAUGUGUAAGUAACUAUGCACGUCUUGACGGUACCUAAUCAGAAAGCCACGGCUAACUACGUG